RNAcentral lists this ribosomal RNA (821 nucleotides) under uncultured bacterium. RNAcentral describes it as "partial 16S ribosomal RNA". It matches the Rfam family "Bacterial small subunit ribosomal RNA", at positions 75 to 895 of the family's 1533-position model. The record is from RNAcentral.
GGGGGCAACCCCUUGAGAGUGGCGAACGGGUGAGUAAUAUAUCGGAACGUGCCCAGUCGUGGGGGAUAACGUAGCGAAAGUUACGCUAAUACCGCAUACGAUCUAUGGAUGAAAGCGGGGGACCGUAAGGCCUCGCGCGAUUGGAGCGGCCGAUAUCAGAUUAGGUAGUUGGUGGGGUAAAGGCUCACCAAGCCAACGAUCUGUAGCUGGUCUGAGAGGACGACCAGCCACACUGGAACUGAGACACGGUCCAGACUCCUACGGGAGGCAGCAGUGGGGAAUUUUGGACAAUGGACGCAAGUCUGAUCCAGCCAUUCCGCGUGCAGGAUGAAGGCCCUCGGGUUGUAAACUGCUUUUGUACGGAACGAAAAGGCUUCUCUUAAUACGAGGAGCUCAUGACGGUACCGUAAGAAUAAGCACCGGCUAACUACGUGCCAGCAGCCGCGGUAAUACGUAGGGUGCAAGCGUUAAUCGGAAUUACUGGGCGUAAAGCGUGCGCAGGCGGUUAUGUAAGACAGAGGUGAAAUCCCCGGGCUCAACCUGGGAACUGCCUUUGUGACUGCAUAGCUAGAGUACGGUAGAGGGGGAUGGAAUUCCGCGUGUAGCAGUGAAAUGCGUAGAUAUGCGGAGGAACACCGAUGGCNANNNCAAUCCCCUGGACCUGUACUGACGCUCAUGCACGAAAGCGUGGGGAGCAAACANGAUUANAUACCCUNNNAGUCCACGCCCUAAACGAUGUCAACUGGUUGUNNNGUCUUCACUGACUCANUAACGAANCUAACGCGUGAANUUGACCGCCUGGGNAGUACGGCCNCNNNGUU